This 58-nucleotide transfer RNA is filed under the name Dipodomys ordii (Ord's kangaroo rat). It matches the Rfam family "tRNA", at positions 8 to 63 of the family's 71-position model. Rfam says of the family: Transfer RNA (tRNA) molecules are approximately 80 nucleotides in length. Their secondary structure includes four short double-helical elements and three loops (D, anti-codon, and T loops). Further hydrogen bonds mediate the characteristic L-shaped molecular structure. tRNAs have two regions of fundamental functional importance: the anti-codon, which is responsible for specific mRNA codon recognition, and the 3' end, to which the tRNAs corresponding amino acid is attached (by aminoacyl-tRNA synthetases). tRNAs cope with the degeneracy of the genetic code in two manners: having more than one tRNA (with a specific anti-codon) for a particular amino acid; and 'wobble' base-pairing, i.e. permitting non-standard base-pairing at the 3rd anti-codon position. The record is from Rfam by way of RNAcentral. Lineage: Eukaryota; Metazoa; Chordata; Mammalia; Rodentia; Heteromyidae.
UGGCUCAAAGGUAGAGCGCUUGCCUUGCAUGCAUGAGGUCCUGGGUUCGAUUCCUCAG